Molecule: ribosomal RNA, 783 nt
Filed under: uncultured Mycobacterium sp.
Lineage: Bacteria; Bacillati; Actinomycetota; Actinomycetes; Mycobacteriales; Mycobacteriaceae
Description: bacterial SSU rRNA
Rfam family: Bacterial small subunit ribosomal RNA
Source: RNAcentral
GUAAAGAGCUCGUAGGUGGUUUGUCGCGUUGUUCGUGAAAUCUCACGGCUUAACUGUGAGCGUGCGGGCGAUACGGGCAGACUUGAGUACUGCAGGGGAGACUGGAAUUCCUGGUGUAGCGGUGGAAUGCGCAGAUAUCAGGAGGAACACCGGUGGCGAAGGCGGGUCUCUGGGCAGUAACUGACGCUGAGGAGCGAAAGCGUGGGGAGCGAACAGGAUUAGAUACCCUGGUAGUCCACGCCGUAAACGGUGGGUACUAGGUGUGGGUUUCCUUCCUUGGGAUCCGUGCCGUAGCUAACGCAUUAAGUACCCCGCCUGGGGAGUACGGCCGCAAGGCUAAAACUCAAAGAAAUUGACGGGGGCCCGCACAAGCGGCGGAGCAUGUGGAUUAAUUCGAUGCAACGCGAAGAACCUUACCUGGGUUUGACAUGCACAGGACGCCGGCAGAGAUGUCGGUUCCCUUGUGGCCUGUGUGCAGGUGGUGCAUGGCUGUCGUCAGCUCGUGUCGUGAGAUGUUGGGUUAAGUCCCGCAACGAGCGCAACCCUUGUCUCAUGUUGCCAGCGGGUAAUGCCGGGGACUCGUGAGAGACUGCCGGGGUCAACUCGGAGGAAGGUGGGGAUGACGUCAAGUCAUCAUGCCCCUUAUGUCCAGGGCUUCACACAUGCUACAAUGGCCGGUACAAAGGGCUGCGAUGCCGCGAGGUUAAGCGAAUCCUUUUAAAGCCGGUCUCAGUUCGGAUCGGGGUCUGCAACUCGACCCCGUGAAGUCGGAGUCGCUAGUAA